GACGAACGCUGGCGGCGUGCCUAAUACAUGCAAGUUGAGCGCUGAAGGUUGGUACUUGUACCAACUGGAUGAGCAGCGAACGGGUGAGUAACGCGUGGGGAAUCUGCCUUUGAGCGGGGGACAACAUUUGGAAACGAAUGCUAAUACCGCAUAAAAACUUUAAACACAAGUUUUAAGUUUGAAAGAUGCAAUUGCAUCACUCAAAGAUGAUCCCGCGUUGUAUUAGCUAGUUGGUGAGGUAAAGGCUCACCAAGGCGAUGAUACAUAGCCGACCUGAGAGGGUGGUCGGCCCACUUGGGAAUGAGACCCGGCCCAAAAUCCUAAGGGAGGCAGCCGUAGGGAAUCUUCGGCAAUGGACGGAAGUCUGAACGAGGAAAGCCGGGUGAGUGAAGAAGGUUUUCGGAUCGUAAAACUCUGUUGGUAGAGAAGAACGUUGGUGAGAGUGGAAAGCUCAUCAAGUGACGGUAACUACACAGAAAGGGACGGCUAACUACGUG
This 497-nucleotide ribosomal RNA is filed under the name uncultured bacterium. RNAcentral describes it as "partial 16S ribosomal RNA". It matches the Rfam family "Bacterial small subunit ribosomal RNA", at positions 28 to 507 of the family's 1533-position model. The record is from RNAcentral.